GGAGAGGUGUCCGAGCGGUCGAAGGAGCGCGCCUGGAAAGCGCGUGUGCGGUAACCCCGUACCGAGGGUUCGAAUCCCUCCCUCUCCGCCA
This 91-nucleotide transfer RNA is filed under the name Salinisphaera japonica YTM-1. RNAcentral describes it as "tRNA-Ser". It matches the Rfam family "tRNA". Rfam says of the family: Transfer RNA (tRNA) molecules are approximately 80 nucleotides in length. Their secondary structure includes four short double-helical elements and three loops (D, anti-codon, and T loops). Lineage: Bacteria; Pseudomonadati; Pseudomonadota; Gammaproteobacteria; Salinisphaerales; Salinisphaeraceae. The record is from RNAcentral. RNAcentral also lists the same sequence under 2 other names.